CCUCCCUUUCUUGACAAGGACCAGGUAUGUACGUUCCCUAUCAUGUCUGGAGGCAGAGGAAAAGCGCUCCAGUGCCCUGGGCAUCAUGUCUUUGGUGCUGGUGGCUUCCUGUCUGCCAUUUCUAACCUCAGGCACCAGGACGCAG
This is a small nucleolar RNA of Cercocebus atys (sooty mangabey), 145 nucleotides long. The record is from Ensembl. NCBI's taxonomy places the organism in Eukaryota, Metazoa, Chordata, Mammalia, Primates, Cercopithecidae.